UAGAUAUUCAAUGCUGGAAGGCUUGGAUAUCGAAAGCGCAAGCGCCAGAGGGUGAGUCUGCGGCCUAUCAGGUAGUAGGUGGUGUAACGGACCACCUAGCCUAAGACGGGUACGGGCCUUGAGAGAGGGAGCCCGGAGAUGGGUUCUGAGACACGAACCCAGGCCCUACGGGGCGCAGCAGGCGCGAAACCUUCGCACUGCGCGAAAGCGCGACGAGGGGAGCCCGAGUGCCUCUCCAUUUCGGGGAGGCUUUUCACAAGCCUAAAAAGCUUGUGGAAUAAGGGCUGGGCAAGACGGGUGCCAGCCGCCGCGGUAAUACCCGCAGCUCGAGUGGUGGUCGCUUUUAUUGAGCCUAAAACGUUCGUAGUCGGCCUUGUAAAUCCCUGGGUAAAUCGGACCGCUUAACGGUUCGAAUUCCGGGGAGACUGCAAGGCUAGGGACCGGGCGAGGUCAGAGGUACUUUCGGGGUAGGAGUGAAAUCCUGUAAUCCCGAAGGGACCACCUGUGGCGAAAGCGUCUGACUUGAACGGCUCCGACGAUGAGGAACGAAGGCUAGGGGAGCAAACCGGAUUAGAUACCCGGGUAGUCCUAGCUGUAAACUCUGCCCGCUUGGUGUGGCCUGUCCUUCGGGGGCAGGCUGUGCCGGAGCGAAGGUGUUAAGCGGGCUGCUUGGGGAGUACGGCCGCAAGGUUGAAACUUAAAGGAAUUGGCGGGGGAGCACCGCAACGGGAGGAUGCGUGCGGUUUAAUGGAUCAACGC
Molecule: ribosomal RNA, 759 nt
Filed under: uncultured Thermoplasmatales archaeon
Lineage: Archaea; Methanobacteriati; Thermoplasmatota; Thermoplasmata; Thermoplasmatales
Description: bacterial SSU rRNA
Rfam family: Archaeal small subunit ribosomal RNA
Source: RNAcentral